This 789-nucleotide ribosomal RNA is filed under the name uncultured archaeon. Its description in RNAcentral is "bacterial SSU rRNA". It matches the Rfam family "Archaeal small subunit ribosomal RNA", at positions 85 to 876 of the family's 1478-position model. The record is from RNAcentral.
ACGGCUCAGUAACACGUGGACAACCUACCCUCAGCACGGGGAUAAACCCGGGAAACUGGGUAUAAUACCCGAUAGUUCUGGUUAGCUGGAAUGCUAUCAGGACGAAGCUCCGGCGGCCGAGGAUGGGUCUGCGGCCUAUCAGGUAGUAGUGGGUGUAACGUACCUACUAGCCUACGACGGGUACGGGUUGUGAGAGCAAGAGCCCGGAGAUGGAUUCUGAGACACGAAUCCAGGCCCUACGGGGUGCAGCAGGCGCGAAAACUUUACAAUGCUGGCAACAGCGAUAAGGGGACCUCGAGUGCCAGGAUACAAUCUUGGCCGUCGUGAUGCCUAAAAAGCAUUGCAUAGCAAGGGCCGGGCAAGACCGGUGCCAGCCGCCGCGGUAACACCGGCGGCUCGAGUGGUAACCGCUAUUAUUGGGUCUAAAGGGUCUGUAGCCGGCCGGAUAAGUCUUUUGGGAAAUCCAGCUGCUCAACAGUUGGGCUUUCAGAAGAUACUGUUCGGCUCGAGGCCGGGAGAGGUGAGAGGUACUUCAGGGGUAGGGGUGAAAUCUUGUAAUCCUUGAAGGACCACCAGUGGCGAAGGCGUCUCACCAGAACGGACCUGACGGCAAGGGACGAAAGCUAGGGGCACGAACCGGAUUAGAUACCCGGGUAGUCCUAGCCGUAAACGAUACUCGCUAGGUGUCAGCCACGGUGCGACCGUGGUUGGUGCCGUAGGGAAGCCGUGAAGCGAGCCACCUGGGAAGUACGGCCGCAAGGCUGAAACUUAAAGGAAUUGGCGGGGGAG